This 250-nucleotide ribosomal RNA is filed under the name uncultured bacterium. Its description in RNAcentral is "partial 16S ribosomal RNA". It matches the Rfam family "Bacterial small subunit ribosomal RNA", at positions 524 to 773 of the family's 1533-position model. The record is from RNAcentral.
UACGUAGGGUGCGAGCGUUGUCCGGAAUUAUUGGGCGUAAAGAGCUUGUAGGCGGUUUGUCGCGUCUGCUGUGAAAACUCGGAGCUUAACUCCGAGCCUGCAGUGGGUACGGGCAGACUAGAGUAUGGUAGGGGAGACUGGAAUUCCUGGUGUAGCGGUGGAAUGCGCAGAUAUCAGGAGGAACACCGAUGGCGAAGGCAGGUCUCUGGGCCAUAACUGACGCUGAGAAGCGAAAGCGUGGGGAGCGAAC